This 229-nucleotide ribosomal RNA is filed under the name uncultured bacterium. RNAcentral's name for it is "partial 16S ribosomal RNA". It matches the Rfam family "Bacterial small subunit ribosomal RNA", at positions 568 to 796 of the family's 1533-position model. The record is from RNAcentral.
CGUGUAGGUGGUGGAUUAAGUCGAAUGUGAAAUCCCUUGGCUCAACCAAGGAACUGCACUCGAUACUGAUCUGCUUGAGUGAUAGAGAGGUAAGCGGAAUUCCCGGUGUAACAGUGAAAUGUGUAGAUAUCGGGAGGAACACCAGUGGCGAAGGCGGCUUACUGGCUAUCUACUGACACUGAAACGCGAAAGCUAGGGGAGCAAACAGGAUUAGAUACCCUGGUAGUCC